UUGCAUUUAUUUACACCAAAUAAUAGUAAAGAAUAAAAUUAUUAGAUAGACAAAAUUAACUUUCUAAAUAUUACAUGUCAAAAUUGUAUGAUGUCUAGUAAUAUAAAAUCAUCAACCAUUUCGAAUCAUAUAUAUAGACGAUAGAUAAAUAGUUAUGUUUCUUGUUCUUCCUGCAUGCAUGUCGCGGUGCCCCUACGAGUUGGCGAUGUGCCUAUAUUCUUGGAUGUUGGAGCUGUUGGUUACCUUGAGAGGAGAUGGGUCAAUUACCUUGAUAGCUUGACUAGUUGAGAGAGGAGAUGAGAUUGUGGAGAGGAAAAUGGAAGCCAAAUUGGAAUUUUGGGGAUUUUAGAGAAUGGGAGAGGAGAGAGUGGAGAGAAUGGAAGCUGAAUUGGGAAUCAGAUUUGGGGAUAUUUUGGGAUCUUGGAGAAUGAGAGAGGAGAAAGUGGAGAGAAUGGAAGCUAAAUUGGGAAUGAGAUUUUGGGGAUAUUGAGGAUUUUGGAGAAUGAGAGAGGAGAAUAAGGAGAAUGAGAUAGGGG
RNAcentral lists this long non-coding RNA (536 nucleotides) under Lupinus angustifolius (narrow-leaved blue lupine). Its description in RNAcentral is "long non-coding RNA (LANG_LNC003349)". Lineage: Eukaryota; Viridiplantae; Streptophyta; Magnoliopsida; Fabales; Fabaceae. The record is from RNAcentral.